UACGUAGGGAGCAAGCGUUGUCCGGAAUCAUUGGGCGUAAAGCGCGCGUAGGCGGCCCCGUAAGUCCGCUGUGAAAGUCAAAGGCUCAACCUUUGAAAGCCGGUGGAUACUGUGGGGCUAGAGUCCGGAAGAGGCGAGUGGAAUUCCUGGUGUAGCGGUGGAAUGCGCAGAUAUCAGGAGGAACACCACUAGCGAAGGCAGCUCGCUGGGACGGUACUGACGCUAAGGCGCGAAAGCGUGGGGAGCGAACAGG
Molecule: ribosomal RNA, 253 nt
Filed under: uncultured bacterium
Lineage: Bacteria
Description: partial 16S ribosomal RNA
Rfam family: Bacterial small subunit ribosomal RNA
Source: RNAcentral